GAUGAACGCUGGCGGCGUGCCUAAUACAUGCAAGUCGAGCGAACAGACGAGGAGCUUGCUCCUCUGACGUUAGCGGCGGACGGGUGAGUAACACGUGGAUAACCUACCUAUAAGACUGGGAUAACUUCGGGAAACCGGAGCUAAUACCGGAUAAUAUAUUGAACCGCAUGGUUCAAUAGUGAAAGACGGUUUUGCUGUCACUUAUAGAUGGAUCCGCGCCGCAUUAGCUAGUUGGUAAGGUAACGGCUUACCAAGGCGACGAUGCGUAGCCGACCUGAGAGGGGGAUCGGCCACACUGGAACUGAGACACGGUCCAGACUCCUACGGGAGGCAGCAGUAGGGAAUCUUCCGCAAUGGGCGAAAGCCUGACGGAGCAACGCCGCGUGAGUGAUGAAGGUCUUCGGAUCGUAAAACUCUGUUAUUAGGGAAGAACAAAUGUGUAAGUAACUAUGCACGUCUUGACGGUACCUAAGCAGAAAGCCACGGCUAACUACGU
This 496-nucleotide ribosomal RNA is filed under the name uncultured bacterium. RNAcentral's name for it is "partial 16S ribosomal RNA". It matches the Rfam family "Bacterial small subunit ribosomal RNA", at positions 28 to 506 of the family's 1533-position model. The record is from RNAcentral.